GUCCGCGUGGCGCAAUGGAUAACGCGUCGGUCUACGGAACCGAUGAUUGCAGAUUCGAGUCCUGCCGUGGUCG
Molecule: transfer RNA, 73 nt
Organism: Toxocara canis (dog roundworm)
Lineage: Eukaryota; Metazoa; Nematoda; Chromadorea; Rhabditida; Toxocaridae
Rfam family: tRNA
About the family: Transfer RNA (tRNA) molecules are approximately 80 nucleotides in length.
Source: Rfam